UAAUAAGUGUUUUAUGGCACUUUUUAAAUCCAUAUCCACCUUGUGUGCAAUGUCAGUCGAUCUUCUUCAUGGAGAUCGACCAAACAUCAACCUUUAUCUUUUAACUCUUUGUCUGAAAAAUAUUAUGAAUAAACAACUCAGAAUA
This 145-nucleotide unclassified non-coding RNA is filed under the name soil metagenome. Its description in RNAcentral is "partial internal transcribed spacer 1". The record is from RNAcentral.